This 537-nucleotide long non-coding RNA is filed under the name Homo sapiens (human). RNAcentral's name for it is "HSALNT0063926". The record is from RNAcentral. Lineage: Eukaryota; Metazoa; Chordata; Mammalia; Primates; Hominidae.
GAGAUAGCGAGUGUGGAUUGAGAGAAAGGGAGAGAGGGAGGGAGAGAGAGUGAAAGAAGAAAAUACAGAGAGUGAGUGUGUGGAAGAGAGAGAGAAACAGGAGAGAAACAGGAGGGAGGGAGAGAGAGAGAGAGAGAGAGAGAGAGAGAGAGAGAGAGAGAGAGAGAGAGAGAGACAGGAGAGAGAGGGAGGGAGCGAGAGGGAGAGCAAAAGAAGGAAAGGAUCCAAGAAAAAAAAGCCCCAACCACACACCAGCGGCUGCAGGACUGGGCACAGCAUGAGAUCCAAAGGCAGGGCAAGGAAACUGGCCACAAAAUCAUGGAUGCUGCCAAUUUUGAGCAGUUUUUGCAAGAAAGGAUCAAAGUGAACGGAAAAGCUGGGAACCUUGGUGGAGGGGUGGUGACCAUCGAAAGGAGCAAGAGCAAGAUCACCGUGACAUCCGAGGUGCCUUUCUCCAAAAGUUGCUAAAACAAGCUCUCACAUUAAUUUGGUGGAAACAGUACAGAUUGGCUAUCUACAAGGUUUGCCUUGGAAAGC